RNAcentral lists this transfer RNA (66 nucleotides) under Chalcophana sp. N69. RNAcentral describes it as "tRNA-Gly". Lineage: Eukaryota; Metazoa; Arthropoda; Insecta; Coleoptera; Chrysomelidae. The record is from RNAcentral.
AUUUAUAUAAUAUAAAAUAAUUAUAUUUAACUUCCAAUUAAAAAAUCUAGAAUCCUAGUGUAAAUA